This 739-nucleotide ribosomal RNA is filed under the name uncultured Eubacteriales bacterium. Its description in RNAcentral is "bacterial SSU rRNA". It matches the Rfam family "Bacterial small subunit ribosomal RNA", at positions 8 to 810 of the family's 1533-position model. The record is from RNAcentral. Lineage: Bacteria; Bacillati; Bacillota; Clostridia; Eubacteriales.
AGAGUUUGAUCCUGGCUCAGGACGAACGCUGGCGGCGUGCCUAACACAUGCAAGUCGAACGGAGUUAUGUCACGAAGUUCUUCGGAGCGGACGACAUAGCUUAGUGGCGGACGGGUGAGUAACGCGUGAGCAACCUGCCUUUCAGAGGGGGACAACGGUUGGAAACGACCGCUAAUACCGCAUGACAUGACUGGACCGCAUGAUCCGGUCAUCAAAGAUUUUAUCAGUAGCCGGACUGAGAGGUUGAACGGCCACAUUGGGACUGAGAUACGGCCCAGACUCCUACGGGAGGCAGCAGUGGGGAAUAUUGGGCAAUGGGGGCAACCCUGACCCAGCAACGCCGCGUGAAGGAAGAAGGCUUUCGGGUUGUAAACUUCUUUUACCGAGGACGAAGAACGUGACGGUACUCGGAGAAAAAGCCACGGCUAACUACGUGCCAGCAGCCGCGGUAAUACGUAGGUGGCAAGCGUUGUCCGGAAUUACUGGGUGUAAAGGGCGUGUAGGCGGAGCGGCAAGUCAGAAGUGAAAUCUCUGGGCUCAACCCGGAAACUGCUUUUGAAACUGUCGCCCUUGAGUAUCGGAGAGGCAGGCGGAAUUCCUAGUGUAGCGGUGAAAUGCGUAGAUAUUAGGAGGAACACCAGUGGCGAAGGCGGCCUGCUGGACGACAACUGACGCUGAGGCGCGAAAGCGUGGGGAGCAAACAGGAUUAGAUACCCUGGUAGUCCACGCCGUAAACGAU